RNAcentral lists this ribosomal RNA (492 nucleotides) under uncultured bacterium. RNAcentral's name for it is "partial 16S ribosomal RNA". It matches the Rfam family "Bacterial small subunit ribosomal RNA", at positions 36 to 507 of the family's 1533-position model. The record is from RNAcentral.
CUUUCCCUCUUUCUUUCUGCCUAACACAUGCAAGUCGAACGGCAGCACAGUAAGAGCUUGCUCUUACGGGUGGCGAGUGGCGGACGGGUGAGGAAUACAUCGGAAUCUACUUUUUCGUGGGGGAUAACGUAGGGAAACUUACGCUAAUACCGCAUACGACCUACGGGUGAAAGCAGGGGAUCUUCGGACCUUGCGCGAUUGAAUGAGCCGAUGUCGGAUUAGCUAGUUGGCGGGGUAAAGGCCCACCAAGGCGACGAUCCGUAGCUGGUCUGAGAGGAUGAUCAGCCACACUGGAACUGAGACACGGUCCAGACUCCUACGGGAGGCAGCAGUGGGGAAUAUUGGACAAUGGGCGCAAGCCUGAUCCAGCCAUACCGCGUGGGUGAAGAAGGCCUUCGGGUUGUAAAGCCCUUUUGUUGGGAAAGAAAAGCAGCAGGUUAAUACCCCGCUGUUCUGACGGUACCCAAAGAAUAAGCACCGGCUAACUUCGUG